CAGAGAUCGCGCGCGUGCGCGCCACUCACCACACACACACACACACCUGGACUAUACCAGACCAGAGAGCGAGACCCGCUGCGCGCGCCGGCCUGGCCCAGGGGUGGGUGGGAAAGAGCGCGAGACCUGGGCGGGAAAACAACCUGCUGCUUUACUCACUCACACUCCCUCUGUCACCCCGCCCUCCCCUCAUGCCACCACUACAAACAACUUCACACCUUACUCAGCUUUAACCCGUGGGCUCCCCAGGGCUGGGCUCGCCGUUAAUUAUUCACAGGGGGGCAGGAGGAGGAGGAGGAUUUUGUGGGAGGCCCCAAAGCAGAGAGAGGGAGGGUGUGUUGAGGGAGUCUCUGUGGCUACCUGUAGGUAAAUAUCAGGGUGUGAAUUGGGAGAUCCGGCCUGUCCCCUGCCCUCCCCCUUUCUGUGAGUGUGAGGAGGGGGGCAGGUGUGUGCUUCCUGCUCUCUGCUCGCUAAUACAGGCGGCUGCACCCUGUACUGACCCACCCGAGGCCUGAGUCUGGUUCUGGUUCUGGGAGAGGGUCCAACACUGAGCCCCCAAUUCCCUGUGGCCUGCUCUGUAAUAACCCUGGGAGCUGGUGAAUGUAAAGCCCCUGAGGCCUAGACAGGGUGCCAGCCAGCAUUCUGCAACACAGGUGUGUUUAAAUCUCUAUUAAAAGCAUUACUCUAGAUACAUAUUGAUGCUGGUUUGUGUAGAAGUAUUGUUAAGCCAUUUUGGGUUUUUUUCACAAAAAGUAAAUAGGUUAUUUUGCUUUUUUUGGUGUGUUUUUGUUGCUGCCCCCCUCCCCUCCCCUCCUCUAGAAGUAUAUUGUUUAUACAGGAGUGAAGGAAUGAUAACUGGUGAUAUAUCUAUAGAUUAGGAACACACUUUUCACCGGGCAGCUCUAGAACACACUCCCCAAAAUAUUCAAUAAUAAAAAAAAAAAGCCAAAACCAAAUUCAUAUCACCCACCCCCCACCCCACCCCUCAAUGGUCUUGCCAAAGUGGAUAUUAUAUAUAAAUAAAUAAGAUGUCCACGCGAAUGCCACUACCAACCGUGAAUGAGCGUGACACAGAGCAGGUAAGUGUGUGGAUUUGUGCCUUUGCAGACCUUUCUACACAUUGAGCUUCAUCUUAAUCUGUCUGGACAUUUAUGUGAUUUAUAAGAGUGUGAGGGCUUGUCAUCAAUAAUUUACGCAAAUGCAUUUGUGAUAUUGUGCAUUAAAAUGCUGAGUGCAAG
Non-coding RNA from Pelobates cultripes (western spadefoot toad), 1238 nucleotides. Lineage: Eukaryota; Metazoa; Chordata; Amphibia; Anura; Pelobatidae. The record is from the annotation of a GenBank genome assembly.